GGGUGAAGGCUGCUUUCUGAAGUGGAGUGCUUUCUUGCUAGAAACCCUCACCACCACUUGGUUUUCAGGACUCUGAAAGUUACCUUGUUCCUGCUGUUCUGUACUCCUGGAGCAAGCUGAAAUGUUUUGUUUACAUGAAGAUCAACAAAUAUCAGAUAUUUGCCAAGUGCAGAGGUUGUUUGAAUUUGGAGGUCCAGAAGGGUUUCUGAAAUUUCACUCUGCUUCUGUGUUGGGAUGGCACCCAGGUGCAAGACUUGGCUCUUUGCUGAAUUUCAUGGGGAUCCUGUCAGCCCAUUUCUCUGGUGUCUCGAGGUUCCUCUAGAGGGCAGCAUAAAAAAUCCUGAAAUUCCAAUGAGAUUUGAAAUUAGACAUUUGAAAUCCAAACCCUGGAUUGAGGGUCUAGAGUACUAACCAUUUCUCCAAGGAACUACUCAAGUCUUUGUGAUGGCAUUAGCUGUUGAUGCAAAAUAUCUGGAUCUUCUGAAUGGUCUCAUCACCUGAAAAGAAUGAUUAACUACCAACAUAACUGUGACCUGACUUCUGUAGGAAAAAAAAAGAAAAGAAUGAUUUCCUUCAAUAUAGUUAAAAAAUACAGAUAGGAAAUAUGAUUGCUUUGAGUGGAAUUUUAGCACUCAAAUAAUCAAUAAAUGCUGUUAUUUUGCUUAAAACACUCUGGAAAAUAGGUGUCAUUAUUUUAAAUUAUGUAAUUACAUAGAAUUACUGUAAUUGUUUCAAGAGUGAACAUGUAAUGUUAAAGGUUAUUUCUUAGGUUAGGACAAUUGUUAAAGCAUUUUGAAUGUAGUUCUUGUAAGGAUGAAAGAUUAUCCUGUCUUGGUAUGGCUCUGCUAAGCCCUGCUCAGGCCACAUCAGGAGCACUGUGCUAAGCACAAGGGAAGUACAAAACUACUGGAGACAGUCCAACAAAGGGCUACAAAGGUGAUGAAAGGACUGAAGCAUCUUUCCUGUAAGUAAAGGUUUAAAGAGAUGGAACUAUUCAACCUGGGAAUACUCAAGGCAGAUCUGAUUAAUACAUAUAAAUUCCUGAAGAGUGAGUGUAAAGAGAACAGAGCCAAGCCCCUUUUAGUGGUGUCCACUGGUGGGACUGGAGGCAAUAGGAUUAAAACAGAACGUAUUUACGGUGCUGGUGACUGAGCACUAGAACAAGAAGCCAUCAUGCAGCAGGAAAACCAUGACUUAGUUGCCAUCACCAAAGCAUGGUGGAAUCACUCUCAUGAUAGGAGUGCUGCAGUGGAGGGCUAUAAGUCCUUUGGACGGGAUAGGCAAGGAAGGAGGGGCAGUGAGGUGGCUCUCUACAUUAAGAAGUGUUUUGAUAUUGUAGAGCUAGGAUCUGGCAAUUAUAAGGUUGAGUGCCUUUGAGUAAAAAUCAGGGGGAAAGCCAACAAGAAUGACAUAGCAGACCACCCAGCCAGAACGAAGAAACAGAUGAAUCAUUCUGUGUGCAGCUGGCACAUGUUCCCUUGUUCUCAUGGGAGACUUCAACUUACCUAACUAUUGCCGGAAAUACAAUUUAUUGACCUUGAAACUAGAUUUCAGAAAACAGUAAAACAAGAAAAAAGGAAAAACAAACAAACAAACAAACAAAAAAAAAAACAUGCUCUGAGAAAAGACAUUACUUUUUUGAUGAAACAGAAAUGUAACCAGUGGAAGUGUAAUGUUGAUAGAAUACAUCAGUAAUUUCACUUAUGAAAAAGAGAAACACUACUGAAAGGUUGAUCACCUAUAGUCCAGAUAUUCUUGGACUAUAACAGCCAAAAUUUCAG
Long non-coding RNA from Gallus gallus (chicken), 1781 nucleotides. RefSeq lists it as uncharacterized. NCBI's taxonomy places the organism in Eukaryota, Metazoa, Chordata, Aves, Galliformes, Phasianidae. The record is from RefSeq and is a predicted model, not a curated record. The transcript has 4 exons.